UUGACCGCACGCUUUGGGUGGAGCGCGGCAAUGCUAUUGCGUGAGAGGAGCGCGAGGCAUUUGAGAAGGACAAGGAAAGGGAUAAGUCCAAGAGUGGGCAGCUAAUGGAUCCGCGGGGUAGUCGAGUUCUAAGCGACCCCCUCGACCUCAGCGAUCACAGUGGCGGGGAGGCAGGAGUCAGACGCAGAGUCAGACUACCUACCCGUGCGUGAUUUGCGGCAGGGACCACAGAGUUACUGCUUGCCCUUAGCGGGAGGGGCGGUGUUUUUGAUGCGGCCAGGCGGGCCACAUAGGCCGAGAGUGCCCGGGUGGUGCAUCACCUGCUCCGUCAUCAGCUUU
RNAcentral lists this long non-coding RNA (339 nucleotides) under Ananas comosus (pineapple). Its description in RNAcentral is "long non-coding RNA (ACOM_LNC043766)". The record is from RNAcentral. Lineage: Eukaryota; Viridiplantae; Streptophyta; Magnoliopsida; Poales; Bromeliaceae.